UACGGAGGGUGCAAGCGUUGUCCGGAUUUAUUGGGUUUAAAGGGUGCGUAGGCGGUCUUUUAAGUCAGCGGUGAAAGCCUCCAGCUUAACUGGAGAAAUGCCAUUGAUACUGGAAGACUUGAGUACAGACGAGGUAGGCGGAAUUGACGGUGUAGCGGUGAAAUGCAUAGAUAUUGUCAAGAACACCGAUUGCGAAGGCAGCUUACUAGACUGUAACUGACGCUGAGGCACGAAAGUGUGGGGAUCAAACAGG
Molecule: ribosomal RNA, 253 nt
Filed under: uncultured bacterium
Lineage: Bacteria
Description: partial 16S ribosomal RNA
Rfam family: Bacterial small subunit ribosomal RNA
Source: RNAcentral